GAUGAACGCUGGCGGCGUGCUUAACACAUGCAAGUCGAACGAUGAAGCCCAGCUUGCUGGGUGGAUUAGUGGCGAACGGGUGAGUAACACGUGAGUAACCUGCCCUUAACUCUGGGAUAAGCCUGGGAAACUGGGUCUAAUACCGGAUAGGAGCGUCCACCGCAUGGUGGGUGUUGGAAAGAUUUAUCGGUUUUGGAUGGACUCGCGGCCUAUCGGCUUGUUGGUGAGGUAAUGGCUCACCAAGGCGACGACGGGUAGCCGGCCUGAGAGGGUGACCGGCCACACUGGGACUGAGACAUGGCCCAGACUCCUACGGGAGGCAGCAGUGGGGAAUAUUGCACAAUGGGCGCAAGCCUGAUGCAGCGACGCCGCGUGAGGGAUGACGGCCUUCGGGUUGUAAACCUCUUUCAGUAGGGAAGAAGCGAAAGUGACGGUACCUGCAGAAGAAGCACCGGCUAACUACGUG
This 466-nucleotide ribosomal RNA is filed under the name uncultured bacterium. Its description in RNAcentral is "partial 16S ribosomal RNA". It matches the Rfam family "Bacterial small subunit ribosomal RNA", at positions 28 to 507 of the family's 1533-position model. The record is from RNAcentral.